RNAcentral lists this transfer RNA (85 nucleotides) under Trichuris muris. RNAcentral describes it as "tRNA-Asp". The record is from RNAcentral. Lineage: Eukaryota; Metazoa; Nematoda; Enoplea; Trichinellida; Trichuridae.
AAAGAUUUAGUUUAUUCUAUCUAUUGUAAUAUUAAAACAUUGAAUUGUCGAUUCAAAGAAGUUUCUUUAAUCCUACUAAUAUUUC